This 276-nucleotide ribosomal RNA is filed under the name uncultured bacterium. RNAcentral's name for it is "partial 16S ribosomal RNA". It matches the Rfam family "Bacterial small subunit ribosomal RNA", at positions 334 to 627 of the family's 1533-position model. The record is from RNAcentral.
UUUCCCUACGGGACGCAGCAGUAGGGAAUAUUGCUCAAUGGGGGAAACCCUGAAGCAGCAACGCCGCGUGGAGGAUGAAGGUUUUCGGAUUGUAAACUCCUUUUGUUAGAGAAGAUAAUGACGGUAUCUAACGAAUAAGCACCGGCUAACUCCGUGCCAGCAGCCGCGGUAAUACGGAGGGUGCAAGCGUUACUAGGAAUCACUGGGCGUAAAGAGCGCGUAGGCGGGAUAGAAAGUCAGAUGUGAAAUAAUAUGGCUUAACCAUAGAACCGCAUU